UAAGUAACCAGAGGAAAAGAAAUCAAUUGAGACUCCGUGAGUAGUGGCGAGCGAAAGCGGACUAGGCCAGCAACUUAGUUUAGACAAUUUGAAUAGUUUGGAAAAACUAACCACAGAGGGUGACAGUCCCGUAAAAGUAAUGCUAAUCUAAGUUCUUGAGUAAAGCGGGACACGUGAAAUCCUGCUCGAAUUAUGGGGGACCACCCUCUAAGCCUAAGUACUCUACAGUGACCGAUAGUGAACUAGUACCGUGAGGGAAAGGUGAAAAGAACCCCUAUUAGGGGAGUGAAAUAGAACCUGAAACCGAUUGCCUACAAACAGUCGAAGCUCUUUUUAGAGUGACGGCGUACCUUUUGUAUAAUGGGUCAGUGACUUAAUUUAUAUUGCAAGCUUAAGCCGAUUAGGUGGAAGCGCAGCGAAAGCGAGUCUUAAUAGGGCGUUUAGUUGUAUGAAUUAGACCCGAAAACGAAUGAGCUUACCAUGAACAGGUUGAAAGUUGGGUAACACCAACCGGAGGACCGAACCAGUUGACGUUGAAAAGUCUUUGGAUGAUUUGUGGUAAGGGGUGAAAGGCCAACCAAAUUCGUAGAUAGCUGGUUUUCCGCGAAAACUAUUUA
Molecule: ribosomal RNA, 617 nt
Filed under: Dehalococcoidales bacterium
Lineage: Bacteria; Bacillati; Chloroflexota; Dehalococcoidia; Dehalococcoidales
Description: partial 23S ribosomal RNA
Rfam family: Bacterial large subunit ribosomal RNA
Source: RNAcentral